This 1080-nucleotide ribosomal RNA is filed under the name Lacticaseibacillus paracasei. RNAcentral describes it as "bacterial SSU rRNA". It matches the Rfam family "Bacterial small subunit ribosomal RNA", at positions 69 to 1137 of the family's 1533-position model. Lineage: Bacteria; Bacillati; Bacillota; Bacilli; Lactobacillales; Lactobacillaceae. The record is from RNAcentral.
UGCACCGAGAUUCAACAUGGAACGAGUGGCGGACGGGUGAGUAACACGUGGGUAACCUGCCCUUAAGUGGGGGAUAACAUUUGGAAACAGAUGCUAAUACCGCAUAGAUCCAAGAACCGCAKGGUUCUUGGCUGAAAGAUGGCGUAAGCUAUCGCUUUUGGAUGGACCCGCGGCGUAUUAGCUAGUUGGUGAGGUAAUGGCUCACCAAGGCGAUGAUACGUAGCCRAACUGAGAGGUUGAUCGGMCACAUUGGGACUGAGACACGGCCCAAACUCCUACGGGAGGCAGCAGUAGGGAAUCUUCCACAAUGGACGCAAGUCUGAUGGAGCAACGCCGCGUGAGUGAAGAAGGCUUUCGGGUCGUAAAACUCUGUUGUUGGAGAAGAAUGGUCGGCAGAGUAACUGUUGUCGGCGUGACGGUAUCCAACCAGAAAGCCACGGCUAACUACGUGCCAGCAGCCGCGGUAAUACGUAGGUGGCAAGCGUUAUCCGGAUUUAUUGGGCGUAAAGCGAGCGCAGGCGGUUUUUUAAGUCUGAUGUGAAAGCCCUCGGCUUAACCGAGGAAGCGCAUCGGAAACUGGGAAACUUGAGUGCAGAAGAGGACAGUGGAACUCCAUGUGUAGCGGUGAAAUGCGUAGAUAUAUGGAAGAACACCAGUGGCGAAGGCGGCUGUCUGGUCUGUAACUGACGCUGAGGCUCGAAAGCAUGGGUAGCGAACAGGAUUAGAUACCCUGGUAGUCCAUGCCGUAAACGAUGAAUGCUAGGUGUUGGAGGGUUUCCGCCCUUCAGUGCCGCAGCUAACGCAUUAAGCAUUCCGCCUGGGGAGUACGACCGCAAGGUUGAAACUCAAAGGAAUUGACGGGGGCCCGCACAAGCGGUGGAGCAUGUGGUUUAAUUCGAAGCAACGCGAAGAACCUUACCAGGUCUUGACAUCUUUUGAUCACCUGAGAGAUCAGGUUUCCCCUUCGGGGGCAAAAUGACAGGUGGUGCAUGGUUGUCGUCAGCUCGUGUCGUGAGAUGUUGGGUUAAGUCCCGCAACGAGCGCAACCCUUAUGACUAGUUGCCAGCAUUUAGUUGGGCA